Drosophila montana is the source of this 448-nucleotide long non-coding RNA. RefSeq lists it as uncharacterized. The transcript is spliced from 3 exons. The record is from RefSeq and is a predicted model, not a curated record. NCBI's taxonomy places the organism in Eukaryota, Metazoa, Arthropoda, Insecta, Diptera, Drosophilidae.
UUGCCUAGCUUCAACAAGGUAUUUAAUUGACCUAUUAUGACACAUACGCGUAGCUUGAAUAAAUUCCAGAUGAUAUGCCGUACGGUAAUAGGGAAAUGCUUAUUAUAAAGUUUACGACUUUGAAGCAUACAACCAGCCAAAGGACAAGCCAAUUGGGCGUGAAUUCAAAUGAUGGUCAGCAAAAUGACGUUAAUAACUAGUUAGGGUAAGCCUUAGAAACUGAGCUCGUGGCCAGCUGACGACCCAGUCCCCGAAGGCAACACAACUGAUGGACGACUGAUGACAUAAUAUGCAAAUAAUGCAAACACAUACACAGGUAAAUACACACACAAACACACACACGCACACACACGUGGUGCUGCACUAUAUAGUUUUUAGCUUGAUUUCUUCAGGGAAUUUCUCUGCAUGCCAGCUGACAAAAUGAACGACUAUAACACUUAGAGAAGUG